Molecule: ribosomal RNA, 369 nt
Filed under: uncultured organism
Description: bacterial SSU rRNA
Rfam family: Bacterial small subunit ribosomal RNA
Source: RNAcentral
CGUAGGGUGCAGGCGUUAAUCGGAAUUACUGGGCGUAAAGCGUGCGCAGGCGGUCUUUUAAGUCAGAUGUGAAAUCCCCGGGCUUAACCUGGGAACUGCGUUUGAAACUGGAAGGCUUGAGUGUGGCAGAGGGGGUGGAAUUCCACGUGUAGCAGUGAAAUGCGUAGAGAUGUGGAGGAACACCGAUGGCGAAGGCAGCCCCCUGGGCUAACACUGACGCUCAUGCACGAAAGCGUGGGGAGCAAACAGGAUUAGAUACCCUGGUAGUCCACGCCCUAAACUAUGUCAACUGGUUGUCGGGGAAGCAAUUCCUUGGUAACGAAGCUAACGCGUGAAGUUGACCGCCUGGGGAGUACGGCCGCAAGGUUA